This 323-nucleotide unclassified non-coding RNA is filed under the name soil metagenome. Its description in RNAcentral is "partial contains 5.8S ribosomal RNA, internal transcribed spacer 2, and large subunit ribosomal RNA". The stretch from base 1 to 120 matches the Rfam family "5.8S ribosomal RNA", at positions 35 to 154 of the family's 154-position model. The record is from RNAcentral.
GAUGAAGAACGCAGCGAAAUGCGAUAAGUAAUGCGAAUUGCAGAAUUCAGUGAGUCAUCGAAUCUUUGAACGCACAUUGCGCCCUGUGGUAUUCCGCAGGGCAUGCCUGUUCGAGCGUCAUUUCAACCCUCAAGCCCCGCUUGGUGUUGGGCCCCGCCCGCUGUGGCCGGCCCUAAAGACAGUGGCGGCGCCGCCUGGCCCUCAGCGUAGUACAUCUCUCGCUCCAGUGCCCGGUGGUAGCCUGCCAGAACCCCAACUCUCGUGGUUGACCUCGGAUCAGGUAGGGAUACCCGCUGAACUUAAGCAUAUCAAUAAGCGGAGGA